This 479-nucleotide long non-coding RNA is filed under the name Prunus dulcis (almond). Its description in RNAcentral is "sRNA ncRNA". Lineage: Eukaryota; Viridiplantae; Streptophyta; Magnoliopsida; Rosales; Rosaceae. The record is from RNAcentral.
GUUGGUGAUAUGACCUUCUCGUUUCCUGCUUGUGUGCUAAUGCCAAGAUUAUAUUCCAGCAGUUUUUUACAUUUCCUAGGUGCUUCAUUAAAAAUUUUUAUUUUCCUUUCCUUCUUCUCUUGGUCUUCAAUUUCUCUUCUUCUGUGCAUGCAAACCCAAACCCCUUGCUUUCUUCUUUCGAUUUUGUUGGUUCUUCAUCAUGCCCAGGUCUAGAGAACCCUUGUAAAUGAGAAAUCGCUAAGGGGCACCAUCCAUAACCGCUAGUUGGUUAAGCGCGGAGAAACGGUUCGCAACCACUAGGAGGGGCCACCGUUCUCCUUUAAAAACCCCAAAUUUCUUGAACUUCCUCUUCAAUUUGUUGAAGGCCAGGCUUGACAAGGUCACUUCGCGAGGUGUGGAGCAACUUGGAGAGAAAAUCACAAGGCAGUUCCCUCUUCUCUUGAUUUGGCAAGCUGCUGGGAAAGACGCAAUCGAGGGCA